GUUUGAUUCUGGCUCAGGACGAACGCUGGCGGCGUGCUUAACACAUGCAAGUCGAACGAAAAUUGAAAAAUUUUAGUGGCGAACGGGUGAGUAACGCGUGAGAAUCUGCCUCAAGGAGGAGGAUAACAGUAGGAAUGCAAGUUCCUUGUGUCGAAAGAUCUGCUAAUACUCCGUAUGCCGAAAGGUGAAAGGAUUGAUUUUCAAUCUGCCUAGAGAAGAGCUCGCGUCUGAUUAGCUAGUUGGUAAGGUAAUGGCUUACCAAGGCGAUGAUCAGUAGCUGGUCUGAGAGGAUGAUCAGCCACAUUGGGACUGAGACACGGCCCAAACUCCUACGGGAGGCAGCAGUGGGGAAUAUUGGACAAUGGGCGAAAGCCUGAUCCAGCAAUGCCGCGUGAGUGAUGAAGGCCUUAGGGUUGUAAAGCUCUUUUGUGCGGGAAGAUAAUGACGGUACCGCAAGAAUAAGCCCCGGCUAACUUCGUGCCAGCAGCCGCGGUAAUACG
RNAcentral lists this ribosomal RNA (500 nucleotides) under Gloeochaete wittrockiana. RNAcentral's name for it is "partial Bacterial small subunit ribosomal RNA". It matches the Rfam family "Bacterial small subunit ribosomal RNA", at positions 11 to 527 of the family's 1533-position model. Lineage: Eukaryota; Glaucocystophyceae; Gloeochaetales; Gloeochaetaceae. The record is from RNAcentral.